AGAGUUUGAUCACGGCUCAGAUUGAACGCUGGCGGCAUGCCUAACACAUGCAAGUCGAACGGAAACGAUGGAAGCUUGCUUCCAGGCGUCGAGUGGCGGACGGGUGAGUAAUACUUAGGAAUCUGCCCAAUAGUGGGGGACAACUCGAGGAAACUCGAGCUAAUACCGCAUACGCCCUACGGGGGAAAGCGGAGGAUCUUUCGGGACUUCGCGCUAUUGGAUGAGCCUAAGUCGGAUUAGCUUGUUGGUGAGGUAAAGGCUCACCAAGGCGACGAUCCGUAGCUGGUCUGAGAGGACGAUCAGCCACACUGGGACUGAGACACGGCCCAGACUCCUACGGGAGGCAGCAGUGGGGAAUAUUGGACAAUGGGGGAAACCCUGAUCCAGCAAUGCCGCGUGUGUGAAGAAGGCCUGCGGGUUGUAAAGCACUUUCAGUAGAGAAGAAAAGCUCAGGGAUAAUACCCUUGAGUCUUGACGUAACCUACAGAAGAAGCUCCGGCUAACUCCGUGCCAGCAGCCGCGGUAAUACGGGGGGAGCGAGCGUUAAUCGGAAUUACUGGGCGUAAAGCGCGCGUAGGCGGCUUUGUAAGUCGGAUGUGAAAGCCCAGGGCUUAA
Molecule: ribosomal RNA, 615 nt
Filed under: uncultured bacterium
Lineage: Bacteria
Description: bacterial SSU rRNA
Rfam family: Bacterial small subunit ribosomal RNA
Source: RNAcentral